Molecule: ribosomal RNA, 255 nt
Filed under: uncultured bacterium
Lineage: Bacteria
Description: partial 16S ribosomal RNA
Rfam family: Bacterial small subunit ribosomal RNA
Source: RNAcentral
CGGACGGGUGAAGUAACGCGUGGAAACCUGCCGUAUACUGGGGGAUAACACUUAGAAAUAGGUGCUAAUACCGCAUAAGCGCACAGCUUCGCAUGAAGCGGUGUGAAAAACUCUGGUGGUAUACGAUGGUUCCGCGUCUGAUUAGCUAGUUGGUGGGGUAAUGGCCUACCAAGGCAACGAUCAGUAGCCGGCCUGAGAGGGUGAACGGCCACAUUGGGACUGAGACACGGCCCAAACUCCUACGGAAGGCAGCAG